Molecule: transfer RNA, 74 nt
Filed under: uncultured Conexibacteraceae bacterium
Lineage: Bacteria; Bacillati; Actinomycetota; Thermoleophilia; Solirubrobacterales; Conexibacteraceae
Description: tRNA-Met
Rfam family: tRNA
About the family: Transfer RNA (tRNA) molecules are approximately 80 nucleotides in length. Their secondary structure includes four short double-helical elements and three loops (D, anti-codon, and T loops).
Source: RNAcentral
GCGCCCGUAGCUCAGCGGUUAGAGCCCCCGACUCAUAAUCGGUCAGACACAGGUUCGAAUCCUGUCGGGCGCAC